Molecule: ribosomal RNA, 439 nt
Filed under: uncultured bacterium
Lineage: Bacteria
Description: partial 16S ribosomal RNA
Rfam family: Bacterial small subunit ribosomal RNA
Source: RNAcentral
CUACGGGGGGCUCCAGUGGGGAAUCUUAGACAAUGGGGGAAACCCUGAUCUAGCCAUGCCGCGUGAGCGACGACGGCCCUAGGGUUGUAAAGCUCUUUCAGCAGGGAAGAUAAUGACGGUACCUGCAGAAGAAGUCCCGGCUAACUCCGUGCCAGCAGCCGCGGUAAUACGGAGGGGACUAGCGUUGUUCGGAAUUACGGGGCGUAAAGCGCGCGUAGGCGGAUUGUUAAGUCGGGGGUGAAAUCCCGGGGCUCAACCCCGGAACUGCCCUCGAUACUGGCAGUCUUGAGUUCGGGAGAGGUGAGUGGAAUUCCGAGUGUAGAGGUGAAAUUCGUAGAUAUUCGGAGGAACACCAGUGGCGAAGGCGGCUCACUGGCUCGAUACUGACGCUGAGGUGCGAAAGCGUGGGGAGCAAACAGGAUUAGAUACCCCUGUAGUC